Molecule: ribosomal RNA, 460 nt
Filed under: uncultured bacterium
Lineage: Bacteria
Description: partial 16S ribosomal RNA
Rfam family: Bacterial small subunit ribosomal RNA
Source: RNAcentral
CCUACGGGAGGCAGCAGUGAGGAAUAUUGGUCAAUGGACGCAAGUCUGAACCAGCCAUGCCGCGUGCAGGAAGACGGCUCUAUGAGUUGUAAACUGCUUUUGUACGAGGGUAAACGCAGAUACUCGUACCUGCCUGAAAGUAUCGUACGAAUAAGGAUCGGCCAACCCCGUGCCAGCAGCCGCGGUAAUACGGAGGAUUCAAGCGUUAUCCGGAUUUAUUGGGUUUAAAGGGAGCGUAGGCGGUCGGAUAAGUUGGAGGUGAAAUCCCGAGGCUCAACUUCGGAAUUGCCUCUGAUACUGGUAGGCUAGAGAGUAGUUGCGGUAGGCGGAAUGUAUGGUGUAGCGGUGAAAUGCUUAGAGAUCGUACGGAACACCGGUGGCGAAGGCGGCUUACCGAGCUACGUCUGACGUUGAGGCACGAAAGCGUGGGGAGCAAACAGGAUUAGAUACCCGAGUAGUC